Osmia bicornis bicornis is the source of this 781-nucleotide long non-coding RNA. RefSeq lists it as uncharacterized. The transcript is spliced from 5 exons. NCBI's taxonomy places the organism in Eukaryota, Metazoa, Arthropoda, Insecta, Hymenoptera, Megachilidae. The record is from RefSeq and is a predicted model, not a curated record.
UCUAGGUUUACUGCUGCUGCAGAUUGCGUGUUUCUAAUUCUGAAGAACAAAUCAUCCAAUUAACCUAAGAAAGUACGUGGAGGUUCCUGCUUAAAAAAAAAAAACUCAGAUGGAAUGGUGGCUUUCACACCGACUACCAAUUUCACGGAGAUCACCUUCACGCUGUACAUCCAUCGUGCAAGCACGUAAAUCACACAUGCUGGGCAAUAGAAUAGCGCAGACAGUGGCAUGCUAGACAAAUCGAGAAAGCGCGUACAAUGAUCGUGUUGGGAUUGGUGAAAAACAAAACAAAACUGUUACGUCAUUUCGUCUAUAGUUUACGGGAGGCAAAUCGUUGGCGCCUACGACAUCCUCCCGCAACCCCCAAAAAGGAGAGGCGUCUGUGUCGUCUGUUUCAAUUUAAUUUGUCAGAGAACAAGAUUUUCCAUCAAACUGAGGUAUCAAAUCCUUCACUAAAGAGAGACGAAGAUAUGACGCUGGAAGCAUACUAGAUGACUCUAUAGAGGUUGGAGUAUUUUUAGAAACAGCAGCAGCAAACGUAGUCGAGGACAAAGAUCGGUAGAAGAUGCCCCGGAAGAUGAAGAAAGUUCUGCAUUUGAUGAAUCUAUGUUUAAUUCCUCUACCAAAAAUGUAUUUUCCCGCAGGCCGAUUUUGCGACUCCUUUUGGCGCGCAUGUACUUUAACUUAUACGGCGGCAUUUUGUCAAAUUAUUUCUAACGGUAAUUAUAAAAAUAAUACUCUAUAGUCCAAUUACUUAUAAGAUAGACUUACAGUUUGGUAA